UCUUUACUAUGUCAACUCCAAGCCAGUUACUGUGAAUGCUAGUUCAAUUCCCAUGAUUUUACGAUGAUAUGUUUUUAUAUGUUUUUUGUUGAUUCUUUUUCCCGUUGGAUGACAUCUUUUGUCUUCAUAUUUAGACUUUGGAUAUGUUUACUGUGGUUGUUAGUUCUCUCUCUCUAAACCCCCGGAACAUUCCUUGACUGUCCCGCACGUUCAUCCUCUACUACUCCUCUCAGCUAAACUCGACCUGCCCUGUGUCGUUGAUUUGCUGUAAGCCACGCGCUGGAUACAACGUCAUGACGAUGAUGAGAUAUAUGAGCAGCCUGCAUUCUCUGGGACAAGCCACCAGGGCCUUCGAGGCAAUCUUGGCCGAAAACAUAGACGAGGUAUCUGACGAGUGGCUGAAAGAUCACUGCACUUAGUGCUCUUUCUCUCCAUUUGUGGUUCUAUCCAGCGGUUGGACCUAAGAGACCUAAUAAAGGCGUCUCCAUC
Molecule: non-coding RNA, 489 nt
Organism: Doryrhamphus excisus (bluestripe pipefish)
Lineage: Eukaryota; Metazoa; Chordata; Actinopteri; Syngnathiformes; Syngnathidae
Source: RefSeq, a predicted model, not a curated record